UGGGAAUGUUACUCGCAGUCAAAUGUCACC
This 30-nucleotide non-coding RNA is filed under the name Mus musculus (house mouse). Lineage: Eukaryota; Metazoa; Chordata; Mammalia; Rodentia; Muridae. The record is from RNAcentral.